RNAcentral lists this ribosomal RNA (301 nucleotides) under uncultured bacterium. RNAcentral's name for it is "partial 16S ribosomal RNA". It matches the Rfam family "Bacterial small subunit ribosomal RNA", at positions 509 to 807 of the family's 1533-position model. The record is from RNAcentral.
CAGUAGCCACGGUAAUACGAAGGGGGCUAGCGUUGUUCGGAAUUACUGGGCGUAAAGCGCACGUAGGCGGAUAUUUAAGUCAGGGGUGAAAUCCCAGAGCUCAACUUUGGAACUGCCUUUGAUACUGGGUAUCUUGAGUAUGGAAGAGGUGAGUGGGAUUCCGAGUGUAGAGGUGAAAUUCGUAGAUAUUCGGAGGAACACCAGUGGCGAAGGCGGCUCACUGGUCCAUUACUGACGCUGAGGUGCGAAAGCGUGGGGAGCAAACAGGAUUAGAUACCCCUGUAGUCCCUGUCUCUUAUAC